Molecule: ribosomal RNA, 912 nt
Filed under: uncultured bacterium
Lineage: Bacteria
Description: bacterial SSU rRNA
Rfam family: Bacterial small subunit ribosomal RNA
Source: RNAcentral
AGAGUUUGAUUAUGGCUCAGAUUGAACGCUGGCGGAAUGCUUUACACAUGCAAGUCGAACGAUGAACCUUAGCUUGCUAAGGGGAUUAGUGGCGGACGGGUGAGUAAUAUAUCGGAACGUGUCCAUUAAUGGGGGAUAACUAGCCGAAAGGUUGGCUAAUACCGCAUACGCCCUGAGGGGGAAAGCUGGGGAUCUUCGGACCUGGCGUUAAUGGAGCGGCCGAUAGCUGAUUAGCUAGUUGGUGGGGUAAAGGCCUACCAAGGCGACGAUCAGUAGCUGGUCUGAGAGGACGACCAGCCACACUGGGACUGAGACACGGCCCAGACUCCUACGGGAGGCAGCAGUGGGGAAUUUUGGACAAUGGGGGAAACCCUGAUCCAGCCAUUCCGCGUGAGUGAAGAAGGCCUUCGGGUUGUAAAGCUCUUUCGCAAGGGAAGAAAAGAUACAAGUUAAUAGCUUGUGUUGUUGACGGUACCUUGAUAAGAAGCACCGGCUAACUACGUGCCAGCAGCCGCGGUAAUACGUAGGGUGCGAGCGUUAAUCGGAAUUACUGGGCGUAAAGCGUGCGCAGGCUGUUUGGCAAGUCAGAUGUGAAAUCCCCGAGCUCAACUUGGGAACUGCGUUUGAAACUGCCAGACUAGAAUAGGUCAGAGGGGGGUAGAAUUCCACGUGUAGCAGUGAAAUGCGUAGAGAUGUGGAGGAAUACCAAUGGCGAAGGCAGCCCCCUGGGAUCAUAUUGACGCUCAUGCACGAAAGCGUGGGGAGCGAACAGGAUUAGAUACCCUGGUAGUCCACGCCCUAAACGAUGUCAACUAGUUGUUGGUGGAGUAAAAUCCAUGAGUAACGUAGCUAACGCGUGAAGUUGACCGCCUGGGGAGUACGGUCGCAGAUUAAAACUCAAUGAAUUGACGG